RNAcentral lists this ribosomal RNA (1514 nucleotides) under Teranymphidae sp. RNAcentral's name for it is "SSU rRNA". It matches the Rfam family "Eukaryotic small subunit ribosomal RNA". The record is from RNAcentral. Lineage: Eukaryota; Parabasalia; Trichonymphida; Teranymphidae.
AGGAAGCACACUUCGGUCAUAGAUUAAGCCAUGCAAGUUAGGUUCAGGUGAAUUUACACUAAAACAGCGCACAGCUCAUUAGUACACUCUGCACCUACUUGACAGCGACUUCGGUCUUAUACGGAUAGCCGGAGCAAUUCUCGGGCUAAUACGGGCAAUUGUAUCAACAGAAAUGAUUUAUGUUGGUAAAGUUGGCUUCUAUAGCAUGUCAUACGGUAGAGUGACCUAUCAGCUAGUACUUAGGGUCUUUACCUAGGUAGGCUAUCACGGGUAACGGGCGGUUAACGUCGGACUGCCGGAGAAGGCGCCUGAGAGACAGCGACUAUGCCUACGGGCAGCAGCAGGCGCGAAACUUACCCAAUCGAGUAUUUCGGAGGUGGUAAUGACCAGUUUCGGUUAUGACUCAAUGGGUCAUUAUGAAUAGGUUGGUGCACUGAAUACACCAAGUAAUCAAGCAGAGGGCCAGUCUGGUGCCAGCAGCUGCGGUAAUACCAGCUCUGCGAGUUUGCUCCCAUAUUGUUGCAGUUAAAACGCCCGUAGUCUGAAAUAAUACAAAGAUCCACCGCGAAUAAAAUCAGAGCGCUCAGGGUAUAAUUAUGAAUGACCCAAGCGUGGUAUGGAGCGUUUACCAACAAUGGUAAGGUCAAAGAGAGCCAUCGGGGCAGGUCAUAUGUUGUGGCGAGCGGUGGAAUGCAUUGACCCACAGGAGAUGAACAAAAGCGAAAGCAGCCUGCUAGAGGGUUUCUGUCGAUCAAGGGCGAAAGUAGGGGUAGCGAACCGGAUUAGAGACCCGGGUAGUCCCUACAGUAAACGAUGUCGACUAGGUGUUGUUUUAAAUUAAGCAGUGCCUUUCGAAAAAUCAAAGUUCAUGGACUCUGGGGGAACUACGAUCGCAAGACUGAAACUUGAAGGAAUUGACGGAAGGGCACACAAGGGGUGGAGCCUGUGGCCUAAUUUGAAUCAACACGGGGAAACUUACCAGGACCAGAUGAUUUGGUGACUGACAGUCUAAAGGGCUUUCAGGAUAGGUCUGUGGGUGGUGCAUGGCCGUUGGUGGUGCGUGGAUUGAUCUGUCAUUGGUUGAUUCAGGUAACGAGCGAGAUUACCACUGAAUGGUCUAGAAUAUAUUACUUCUGUUGAUAUAUUCAUAAUUCAGGACUGCCUGGUAUAUAACAGGAGGAAGGAGGUAGCAAUAACAGGUCCGUGAUGUCCUUCAGAUGCCCUGGGCUGCACGCGUGCUACAAUGUGGAUUGCAAAGAGCAUUUGCAAAGUUGAUAAACCAAGCAACACUCUAAUCAUCCACGUAGUUGGGAUUGAGGAUUGUAAUCAUCCUCAUGAACUAGGAAUCCCUUGUAAGCGUGUGUCACAAACGCACGUUGAAUACGUCCCUGCCCUUUGUACACACCGCCCGUCGCUCCUACCGAUUGGAUGGUAUGGUGAAUACGUUGGACUCAUUUGGGAAAGACGCAUGAGCCAUGCCAUCUAGAGGAAGGAGAAGUCGUAACAAGGUAACG